RNAcentral lists this unclassified non-coding RNA (1337 nucleotides) under Hevea brasiliensis (rubber tree). Lineage: Eukaryota; Viridiplantae; Streptophyta; Magnoliopsida; Malpighiales; Euphorbiaceae. The record is from RNAcentral.
UGUAAAUAGGGUGAAUGUUGCAGCACUGACACAAAAGUUGCAAAUCAAACAUAAAUUAAUUAUUUUAGAGGAAUUAAAUAAAUAGAUAGACAACGCCUCCUAAAACAAGCACUUUUCAACAGCCACCUUCAUGAUAAAGACAAUAGUAACACAUAAAUUUGUACCCCUAUCAUUUAUUGCAUAUGCACUAGUCGAUUCUUUGCUGCCUUGGAAAAGGAGAUGAAAAGAAGAAAAUACCUUAUAUCAAGUCCAAAAUAACCACAAGAAGAUAAGAAGAGCCAUAGUUGGGCCAAAGGAUAGUAUAGAAUUAUUAAUUUAAUAUUUUACAGUAUGAGCAGACACUCCAAUGUAGUAGGCAAACAACUACAUAUAACUUAUAAGCCACAUAAGCUCAUGAACUUGCAAAUCUCCUCGACAAUAUGCCCAAAGGAUCACUCCCUGGCAAUAACCCUUCAGGAAUUCUUGUCUGCUAUCUGGUAUGAAAAUGCAGCAGCACUCACUCAUUAAUCUGAUUAAGAGGAUUGUCAGGAGAUUUCUUCCAUAACUUCCAUAUCAUGUCCUUGUAUUGAUUAUGAGUAAGGCCUGGUUUCUCUUCCUUGAGUUUAGGAAGCUCAGCUUCUUCAAAAGCCUUAAAUGAGGCCUUGAGCCUCCUCUCAGGAUGCCUAUCAGCUGGCAAGUCGUCCGCGACUGUCAUCUGUGCAAUCGCAUCCUCCACAGUCCUUGCCUCAAUAAUGGAAUCAUCGCGAUUCGUAUUUGCAACCAACACCAUUCUCUCAUAAUCCUCCUCAACGGCGGUCCUGCUCUGCCUUCGUUUCAUCUCAUCCGCUUUCUUAGCCAGUUCUGCCUGCUCCUCCUCCCGCCGCCUCCCGAGCUCCGCCUCCGUCACCUUAGGAACUGGAAUAGCCACCCGAUUCGCCUUCUUAUCUGGUUUCCUCAAGGAUUUAUCGAUCUCCUUAUCUUCCUGUUCGGCCAACCGGCGGGCCUCAGCGCGACGAGCAGCGGCUUCUGCUCGCUUCUCAGAUUCUUCCUCGCGUUUCUUGGCGGCACGAGAUUUGGAGCCCUCGGCUUCGCGCCAGUACUGGUCUUCCUUCUCGCGGGCGUCGCGCUCCUUGCGCUCGGUCUCAGCAGUGCUCUUCCGAGCCCGAGCGGCCUCGGCCUUGCUGUUGACGCCCAUCUUCUUUGGCAUCUUUGAUUGAAGAAUUAGGCCUUGAUUGAAUUGAUGAAAAUGGAUUGAGAAUGGGAAAUUUGGGGAUUAGAUUUCGUGGGGUUUUGAGAGAGGAACCAGCUAGAUUUUGCGCGUUUCGCGUAAUCGUGUGAGUUGAGAAAAUAGUGUGUUU